Molecule: ribosomal RNA, 497 nt
Filed under: uncultured bacterium
Lineage: Bacteria
Description: partial 16S ribosomal RNA
Rfam family: Bacterial small subunit ribosomal RNA
Source: RNAcentral
GAUGAACGCUGGCGGCGUGCCUAAUACAUGCAAGUCGAGCGAACAGACGAGGAGCUUGCUCCUCUGACGUUAGCGGCGGACGGGUGAGUAACACGUGGAUAACCUACCUAUAAGACUGGGAUAACUUCGGGAAACCGGAGCUAAUACCGGAUAAUAUAUUGAACCGCAUGGUUCAAUAGUGAAAGACGGUUUUGCUGUCACUUAUAGAUGGAUCCGCGCCGCAUUAGCUAGUUGGUAAGGUAACGGCUUACCAAGGCAACGGUGCGUAGCCGACCUGAGAGGGUGGACGGCCACACUGGAAGGGAGACCAGGUCCAGACUCCGACGGGAGGCAGAAGGAGGGAAUCUGCAGCAAUGGGCGAAAGCCUGAAGGAGGAACGCCGCGGGAGUGAUGAAGGUCCUCGGAGCGUAAAAGUCUUUUAGUAGGGAAGAACAAAUGUGUAAGUAACUAUGCACGUCGUGACGGUACCUAAUCAGAAAGCCACGGCUAACUACGUG